UACAGAGGUCCCAAGCGUUGUCCGGAAUUAUUGGGCGUAAAGAGCUCGUAGGCGGCUUGUCACGUCGGAUGUGAAAGCCCGAGGCUUAACCUCGGGUCUGCAUUCGAUACGGGCUAGCUAGAGUGUGGUAGGGGAGAUCGGAAUUCCUGGUGUAGCGGUGAAAUGCGCAGAUAUCUGGAGGAACACCGGUGGCGAAGGCGGCAUCCUGGACCAAUUCUGACACUGAGGAGCGAAAGCCAGGGGAGCAAACGGG
RNAcentral lists this ribosomal RNA (253 nucleotides) under uncultured bacterium. RNAcentral's name for it is "partial 16S ribosomal RNA". It matches the Rfam family "Bacterial small subunit ribosomal RNA", at positions 524 to 776 of the family's 1533-position model. The record is from RNAcentral.